UUAGAGCUUUCCCGCUUGUUCUUAUUAUUAUCUUAUCCUCUGAGAUAAAGAGUAGACGCUCCAAGUACUUAUACAUGUAUCACAGCGGAAGCCUGCGGGAUAGCCAAAUUGUCAGUAAUAGACGAAAUCAGAGAAGUUGGUACAAAUAGGCAUUAAAUUGAAGUGAUCCUGCAAGCCCAAAAAAUUAUUCACUUAAUUUCCACCUCCUCCUCCUCCACCCCCAAAAAAAUGAAUAAAUGUGAAUUAUGUACUUAAAAAUUUGACGGUAGCUGCACUUCUUGGAACCUUUUUUCAAGGCUAAUAAUAAUCACGACUUGCACAGUGCUCAGAGAACUCUAACUAUUGACAAGGCGCAAAAGGGUUCCAAUGAACGAUAGGGCGCAGUGGUCUUUGAAAAACUAACAUUUCGGCGAAUCCCAGUAAGUGACAAUCGAGACCAUUUUUCAAAAGUAACUUAGCAACAUUGAAGAUUCAGAUAAAACGAAUGAAGGACGCUCUUGAGCUUGAAGAAAAACCGUGCUUAAUACGGUGAUGGUUAUUUCGCGUCUGUGCCCUAAGUGACAUCACGAGUAUCAGACGCACAUGGGUAAAGUCAUUGUUUUACACAUCGUUUGCUUCUCUGAGUUUUUCUAGCGUCAUAAUUUUCCUCUCUAAUGUUGUCUGUAGACUCGCAGUGACGUAAAUAUAACGACUGCCGAAUAGAGACUGCCGCCAUCCUGUGUGAUUCUUGUUUCCGAAGAUGAGAACUGUAUCUUAUGUCUGAUCGUCAGUGCCAGCUCUUUUUCCUGUAAUCUCAAACUUUUCGAUCUCCGUUUAAGUAGCAACAUUUCAACGUUCCUUGUCUAUUUCCCAUGUUCAAGUUUGCAUUUUUUUCUUUAAAUAAUUGGUGAGAAUUCAACAUCUCAACAGCUGUUAUCCUUUGAAUCUUCUGUCUUAAUCUUCGUGAUUCAGCAGUAAAAAGACUUCGCCAUUAAUCGAGCAAUAUGGGAAAUAAUCUACGAUCAUCGAUUUCUUUCCGUACCCAUCAAAUUUUGCUCAGAAAACGAAUUCAAAGCAGCUUAUUAUCGGAUGAGCGCAGGAUAAAUCUUUUACAGAUGUAUGGAGUUGUAACGGCUCAAAAAGAGUUGACGUCUAAUAUGGCUGACGCACUCAAAUUUAUAAAAACCAUACACAAUCACAAAAUAGAGGACAUUGAGUGGGAUUUAAUUGGUUAAUUAGCUUAAGUAAGCUCAGGUACAGGUAUAUAGUAUGGGUUUUUGUCAGCCUAAAAAUUUCCUCUGGCGACUCAACGUAAUCUUUAUUUUUUAAUUUGCUAUGAAUCCAAGAGGUAUGAGUAAUUGUUGGCUUUAACUCAACUGAGAAACUUAUAAAGAAUCGUCUUUAUUUUUUUUCAGUAUUUGCAAGAUCGAAUUUUUUUCGUGUAAGUUGCACUUGAAUGUGUGCAAAAAUUAAUUGAAAGACUGUUUAAAAUUAAUACAAUAAAUGACCUGAUUUGGAUACAAAAUUGAAAUCCCAGUCUCUACUCUUCUUUCUCUUUCCUCGUUUCGAAGCAACAUAACCCUUAAUCAACUUUUUCAAUCAUUAAAAUUCAUCCGCAUGAGUGUGUGCCUCAGCACCAUUUACAAGGCAUAUAAUUGGAAGGAGGAUGUACAUACAAUCAUGUGAACGUUACUUGAUUUUUCAUCGCGUCCUGCCUGUCGAUGG
RNAcentral lists this long non-coding RNA (1704 nucleotides) under Bemisia tabaci. Its description in RNAcentral is "lncRNA ENSSWEETPG006638". The record is from RNAcentral. Lineage: Eukaryota; Metazoa; Arthropoda; Insecta; Hemiptera; Aleyrodidae.